UCCUGGUUUCCCAGGCAGUCCAACCAGAGUGCCCUACUCGCGUAAGUAGCAACUGAUUGCAGGGGUUGCGCUCGUUAGAGGACUUAACCAAACAUCUCACGACACGAGCUGACGGCAGCCAUGCAGCACCUGUGCAAGCGUCCAGGAAAACCUGAAAGACUGUGUUUCCACAGCGGUCACUUGCAUGUCAAGCCCAGGUAAGAUUCCUCGCGUAGUGUCGAAUUAAACCACAUGUUCCACCGCUUGUUCGGACCCCCGUCAAUUCCUUUAAGUUUUAAUCUUGCGACCGUACUCCCCAGGCGAAUCACUUAACGCGUUAGCUACGACACCAAUCCGGCAGAGCCAGACUAACGUCUAGUGAUCAUCGUUUACAGCGUGGACUAC
This 384-nucleotide unclassified non-coding RNA is filed under the name uncultured bacterium. RNAcentral's name for it is "contains 16S-23S intergenic spacer region". The record is from RNAcentral.